This 435-nucleotide ribosomal RNA is filed under the name uncultured bacterium. RNAcentral describes it as "partial 16S ribosomal RNA". It matches the Rfam family "Bacterial small subunit ribosomal RNA", at positions 28 to 507 of the family's 1533-position model. The record is from RNAcentral.
GAUGAACGCUGGCGGUAUGCUUAACACAUGCAAGUCGAACGGACUCUUCGGAGUUAGUGGCGGACGGGUGAGUAACGCGUGAGAAUCUAGCUUUGGGUACGGGACAACUACUGGAAACGGUGGCUAAUACCGGAUGUGCCGAGAGGUAAAAGAGAAAUUGCCUGAAUAUGAGCUCGGGUCUGAUUAGCUAGUUGGUGAGGUAAAGGCUCACCAAGGCAGCGAUCAGUAGCUGGUCUGAGAGGAUGACCAGCCACACGGGGACUGAGACACGGCCCAGACUCCUAGGGGGGGGAGGAGUGGGGAAUUGCACGCAAUGGGCGAAAGUGUGACGGAGACAUACCGUGUGAGAGAAGAAGGCUCUUGGGUUGUAAAGCUCUUUUCUUAGGGAAGAACAAAGUGACGGUACCUAAGGAAUCAGCAUCGGCUAACUCCGUG